This 375-nucleotide RNase P RNA is filed under the name Salmonella enterica. Its description in RNAcentral is "RNase P RNA component class A". It matches the Rfam family "Bacterial RNase P class A". Rfam says of the family: Ribonuclease P (RNase P) is a ubiquitous endoribonuclease, found in archaea, bacteria and eukarya as well as chloroplasts and mitochondria. Its best characterised activity is the generation of mature 5'-ends of tRNAs by cleaving the 5'-leader elements of precursor-tRNAs. Lineage: Bacteria; Pseudomonadati; Pseudomonadota; Gammaproteobacteria; Enterobacterales; Enterobacteriaceae. The record is from RNAcentral.
GAAGCUGACCAGACAGUCGCCGCUUCGUCGUCGUCCUUUCGGGGAGACGGGCGGAGGGGAGGAAAGUCCGGGCUCCAUAGGGCAGGGUGCCAGGUAACGCCUGGGAGGGAAACCCACGACCAGUGCAACAGAGAGCAAACCGCCGAUGGCCCACGUAAGUGGGAUCAGGUAAGGGUGAAAGGGUGCGGUAAGAGCGCACCGCGCGGCUGGUAACAGUCCGUGGCACGGUAAACUCCACCCGGAGCAAGGCCAAAUAGGGGUUCAUAAGGUACGGCCCGUACUGAACCCGGGUAGGCUGCUUGAGCCAGUGAGCGAUUGCUGGCCUAGAUGAAUGACUGUCCACGACAGAACCCGGCUUAUCGGUCAGUUUCACUU